RNAcentral lists this ribosomal RNA (468 nucleotides) under Caulobacter sp. RNAcentral's name for it is "bacterial SSU rRNA". It matches the Rfam family "Bacterial small subunit ribosomal RNA", at positions 395 to 879 of the family's 1533-position model. The record is from RNAcentral. Lineage: Bacteria; Pseudomonadati; Pseudomonadota; Alphaproteobacteria; Caulobacterales; Caulobacteraceae.
UGCCGCGUGAAUGAUGAAGGUCGUUAGGAUUGUAGAAUUCUUUCACCGGGGNACGAUAAUGACGGUACCCGGAGAAGAAGCCCCGGCUAACUUCGUGCCAGCAGCCGCGGUAAUACGAAGGGGGCUAGCGUUGCUCGGAAUUACUGGGCGUAAAGGGAGCGUAGGCGGACUGUUAAGUUAGAGGUGAAAGCCCAGGGCUCAACCUUGGAAUUGCCUUUGAUACUGGCAGUCUUGAGUACGGAAGAGGUAUGUGGAACUCCGAGUGUAGAGGUGAAAUUCGUAGAUAUUCGGAAGAACACCAGUGGCGAAGGCGACGUACUGGUCCGUUACUGACGCUGAGGCUCGAAAGCGUGGGGAGCAAACAGGAUUAAAUACCCUGGUAGUCCACGCCGUAAACGAUGAGUGCUAGUUGUCGGCAUGCAUGCAUGUCGGUGACGCAGCUAACGCAUUAAGCACUCCGCCUGGGGA